UACGUAGGGGGCGAGCGUUGUCCGAAGUUACUGGGCGUAAAGCGCGCGUAGGCGGCCACUUAAGUCUGGGGUGAAAGGUUCAGCGCUCAACGUGAACAGUGCCUUGGAUACUGGGUGGCUUGAGUCCGGGAGAGGGUAGUGGAAUUCCUGGUGUAGCGGUGAAAUGCGUAGAUAUCAGGAGGAACACCUGCGGUGUAGACGGCUUUCUGGACCAUUGCUGACGCUGAGACACGAAAGCGUGGGGAGCAAACAGG
Molecule: ribosomal RNA, 254 nt
Filed under: uncultured bacterium
Lineage: Bacteria
Description: partial 16S ribosomal RNA
Rfam family: Bacterial small subunit ribosomal RNA
Source: RNAcentral